AAACAGCUUGGAGGGGUUUUGUGACCUGCCUAAGUUCACACAGAGAACUUGUUUGGAAAAGUAUCUCUCCGUCCUAGGGCUGGAGAGACAGCAGAAGGAGAAUUGGAUUAAGAGUCAAACAUUAAUAGCACCAUUCCCACAUCUAUGGACUUGGGCACAUUAUGCAACCUCUCUGAGUUUUGAUUUCUCUCCUGGAACAAUGCGGUUGAUGUUACUCCAAAGAGAAGUGAGAUCAAAUGCAAUAAUCUAGGCAUGUGAAAGCCUUUUGCUAACACUAGAGUCCUGGGCAAGAUACUAAAGCAGAGACUCAGCCGCCUGCUCUUCUGGAACUCCAUUAAUUAAGCAAGAAUGCCUGUGUGUUUGAGGAAGAAAGAUCUCAGAGGGUCCAUUUAGCCUGUCAAAAUCACAAGAUUGAGUAAACUUUGGCAAAUUGUCCUGAAAAUGCUUUAACAUACGCUAAGCUCUUUGCAAGAGCAUUCUCAUCCGUCUCUAGGAACCCAUCCAGGUUUAACAUGCUUUGAUUCUAUUUUUUCAGAGUUUAUUAUUAUCUGGAGGAUUCCAUGAAAGGCAAGUAACUCUGAAAGCCACACUGUAUCAAAUGAAUUUUCCUUUAGGUGAGCUGCCUUACAGCAAUAGAAUGGCUCCUUCGAGACGGUGAACCACAGUGAGUACUUGGCUUGCUGAAUCUCCAAGAUGACAGAUGCUGCUGAUUCUCAUAUUCCAAAGUGAGGCCUAAAACUGCCUGAGCAGGACUUGCAAUGGAGAAUCCAAUAACUGAAUUCUGUCCGUAGGUGACCACCCAGCUCUAGCCUAUAAAGAAAGGCUGUAAAAGACGAGGGGACUGCAGAUUGGAUGAGUAGUUUUGGAGAGAGCUGUCACAGUGCUGAGGAUCGUAACACCAAAACUCUCCCAUCCAGACACUAACAUACCCAGGAGGGGGUGUGAGACACUUCAGCCUAGGGAAAG
Bos taurus (domestic cattle) is the source of this 966-nucleotide long non-coding RNA. The record is from Ensembl. Lineage: Eukaryota; Metazoa; Chordata; Mammalia; Artiodactyla; Bovidae.